RNAcentral lists this long non-coding RNA (1023 nucleotides) under Hordeum vulgare. Its description in RNAcentral is "long non-coding RNA (HVUL_LNC009421)". Lineage: Eukaryota; Viridiplantae; Streptophyta; Magnoliopsida; Poales; Poaceae. The record is from RNAcentral.
GGGUUCCCUCUUUCCCAUCUCUGUUGCCGCCAGGUGAGCCUAGCCUCUAGAUCCAACAACUCCUCUCGGACCAGAGAGAGUUCCUGUGAGACCAUCGUCAUCGGCGAGCCUUCCGACACCCCAAGGAGAAGUUGGUCAUCCAGGAGCUAUACCUGGUCAUGGUGCUUCCGCUACGUGCUCUAGUUCCCGAGGGAUGUCAAAGCUAGGGAGAAUUCGACAAUAUUCUUCAUCGGUAGAAGCUUGUCGCCAGUAGCAAUUCAUCGCAGAGAAUCAUCCUCGAGCCGUACACCUACGACGAGCCCCUCCUCGCGAGCAUUGGCGUGACCCCAGUGAGUUUUCCCCUUUGAUUAUGCCUUGUGCUGCCAUCGCUAGUGAGACCCGAGCGCGUCGCCGUCAAACAUCAUUGUCGGUGAGUGUUUCAACGCCGUCGAUUGUGAUUAUUAGCGCAUAGAGAGUUCACAUCGGCGUGUGGGUCCAUUUUCAUCUUCAGGUAGCCGAUUAUGCUGCUGGAGCUAGCUAACCAAGCUCACCGUCGCCGCCACUGUUUUCUGUCGUCCGUGUUAAUCUAUUGCACGAUAGUUUUCCAGGUAUGCGUGUAUGUGGUAGGUAGUUGCGGAGUGCCUCGUUCCUUCCACCGCGUCUUUGGGUCACCCCAACAUCACCGUUAUGGAUGUGUGCCUCUGCCUUCUUCGUCGAUGAACGCUCGUGCAGUGUGUGCAUGUGUGUGACUGAUUUGUGGGCCCAACCGAGUAUAGAGUAGAGUCAAUUGACUCGAGGCGACCUUCUGGUCAAGCUAGAACCACUAGCUUGACUGGCUUGCCGCAAGAGCUUGCAACCGAGAGGUCUCGGGUUCGACCACUCCCCCCAAGCCCAUUUUAUUUCCUAUGACUGUUGAUUUGCUCUAAGGGUGACAGGAGGGCCUAGUCCCACCUGUCAUACCCACUGGGUCCCUGGUGUCACCGCUAGUGGGACCCCCUGUGUGAUUUUAUUUUUUUAUUGUUUUUGUUUUUGUUUUAGUCCCUC